CAAAAAAGACAGGUGAUCUCGGGCGGGAUCGAACCGCCGACCUUCUGUGUGUUAGACAGAUGUGAUAACCACUACACCACGAGACCGCU
RNAcentral lists this transfer RNA (89 nucleotides) under Caenorhabditis elegans. RNAcentral describes it as "Unclassified non-coding RNA T01B4.4". Lineage: Eukaryota; Metazoa; Nematoda; Chromadorea; Rhabditida; Rhabditidae. The record is from RNAcentral.